RNAcentral lists this ribosomal RNA (607 nucleotides) under Enterobacter cloacae. RNAcentral describes it as "partial 23S ribosomal RNA". It matches the Rfam family "Bacterial large subunit ribosomal RNA", at positions 611 to 1220 of the family's 2925-position model. Lineage: Bacteria; Pseudomonadati; Pseudomonadota; Gammaproteobacteria; Enterobacterales; Enterobacteriaceae. RNAcentral also lists the same sequence under 1 other name. The record is from RNAcentral.
UAUAAUGGGUCAGCGACUUAUAUUCUGUAGCAAGGUUAACCGUAUAGGGGAGCCGAAGGGAAACCGAGUCUUAACUGGGCGUUAAGUUGCAGGGUAUAGACCCGAAACCCGGUGAUCUAGCCAUGGGCAGGUUGAAGGUUGGGUAACACUAACUGGAGGACCGAACCGACUAAUGUUGAAAAAUUAGCGGAUGACCUGUGGCUGGGGGUGAAAGGCCAAUCAAACCGGGAGAUAGCUGGUUCUCCCCGAAAGCUAUUUAGGUAGCGCCUCGUGAACUCAUCUUCGGGGGUAGAGCACUGUUUCGGCUAGGGGGCCAUCCCGGCUUACCAACCCGAUGCAAACUACGAAUACCGAAGAAUGUUAUCACGGGAGACACACGGCGGGUGCUAACGUCCGUCGUGAAGAGGGAAACAACCCAGACCGCCAGCUAAGGUCCCAAAGUCAUGGUUAAGUGGGAAACGAUGUGGGAAGGCCCAGACAGCCAGGAUGUUGGCUUAGAAGCAGCCAUCAUUUAAAGAAAGCGUAAUAGCUCACUGGUCGAGUCGGCCUGCGCGGAAGAUGUAACGGGGCUAAACCAUGCACCGAAGCUGCGGCAGCGACGCUUAUG